This 90-nucleotide transfer RNA is filed under the name Patescibacteria group bacterium. RNAcentral's name for it is "tRNA-Ser". It matches the Rfam family "tRNA". Rfam says of the family: Transfer RNA (tRNA) molecules are approximately 80 nucleotides in length. Their secondary structure includes four short double-helical elements and three loops (D, anti-codon, and T loops). Further hydrogen bonds mediate the characteristic L-shaped molecular structure. tRNAs have two regions of fundamental functional importance: the anti-codon, which is responsible for specific mRNA codon recognition, and the 3' end, to which the tRNAs corresponding amino acid is attached (by aminoacyl-tRNA synthetases). tRNAs cope with the degeneracy of the genetic code in two manners: having more than one tRNA (with a specific anti-codon) for a particular amino acid; and 'wobble' base-pairing, i.e. permitting non-standard base-pairing at the 3rd anti-codon position. The record is from RNAcentral.
GGACGGGUGGCUGAGUGGUUUAAGGCAACGGUCUUGAAAACCGUCGUCCUCGCAAGGGGACCGUGAGUUCGAAUCUCACCCCGUCCGCCA